Molecule: ribosomal RNA, 497 nt
Filed under: uncultured bacterium
Lineage: Bacteria
Description: partial 16S ribosomal RNA
Rfam family: Bacterial small subunit ribosomal RNA
Source: RNAcentral
GAUGAACGCUGGCGGCGUGCCUAAUACAUGCAAGUCGAGCGAACGGACGAGAAGCUUGCUUCUCUGAUGUUAGCGGCGGACGGGUGAGUAACACGUGGAUAACCUACCUAUAAGACUGGGAUAACUUCGGGAAACCGGAGCUAAUACCGGAUGAUAUUUUGAACCGCAUGGUUCAAAAGUGAAAGACGGUCUUGCUGUCACUUAUAGAUGGAUCCGCGCUGCAUUAGCUAGUUGGUAAGGUAACGGCUUACCAAGGCAACGAUGCAUAGCCGACCUGAGAGGGUGAUCGGCCACACUGGAACUGAGACACGGUCCAGACGCCUACGGGAGGCAGCAGUAGGGAAUCUUCCGCAAUGGGCGAAAGCCUGACGGAGCAACGCCGCGUGAGUGAUGAAGGUCUUCGGAUCGUAAAACUCUGUUAUGAGGGAAGAACAUAUGUGUAAGGAACUGUGCACAUCUUGACGGUACCUAAUCAGAAAGCCACGGCUAACUACGUG